RNAcentral lists this ribosomal RNA (255 nucleotides) under uncultured bacterium. RNAcentral's name for it is "partial 16S ribosomal RNA". It matches the Rfam family "Bacterial small subunit ribosomal RNA", at positions 78 to 334 of the family's 1533-position model. The record is from RNAcentral.
UCUUUCUUUGCUGGCGACCGGCGCACGGGUGAGUACCACGUAUCCAACCUGCCCUUUACUCGGGGAUAGCCUUUCGAAAGAAAGAUUAAUACCCGAUAGUAUAAUGAUUCCGCAUGGUUUCAUUAUUAAAGGAUUCCGGUAAAGGAUGGGGAUGCGUUCCAUUAGGUUGUUGGUGAGGUAACGGCUCACCAAGCCUUCGAUGGAUAGGGGUUCUGAGAGGAAGGUCCCCCACAUUGGAACUGAGACACGGUCCAA